CCACACUGGGACUGAGACACGGCCCAGACUCAUACGGGAGGCAGCAGUGGGGAAUAUUGCACAAUGGGCGGAAGCCUGAUGCAGCGACGCCGCGUGGGGGAUGACGGCCUUCGGGUUGUAAACCCCUUUCGGCAGGGAACAAGCCGCUUCGGUGGUGAGGGUACCUGCGGAAGAAGCGCCGGCUAACUACGUGCCAGCAGCCGCGGUAAUACGUAGGGCGCGAGCGUUAUCCGGAAUUAUUGGGCGUAAAGAGCUCGUAGGCGGUUUGUCGCGUCUGCUGUGAAAGCCCGGGGCUCAACCCCGGGUCUGCAGUGGGUACGGGCAGGCUGGAGUGCAGUAGGGGAGACUGGAAUUCCUGGUGUAGCGGUGAAAUGCGCAGAUAUCAGGAGGAACACCGAUGGCGAAGGCAGGUCUCUGGGCUGUAACUGACGCUGAGGAGCGAAAGCAUGGGGAGCGAACAGGAUUAGAUACCCUGGUAGUCCAUGCCGUAAACGUUGGGCACUAGGUGUGGGGGCCAUUCCACGGUUUCCGCGCCGCAGCUAACGCAUUAAGUGCCCCGCCUGGGGAGUACGGCCGCAAGGCUAAAACUCAAAGGAAUUGACGGGGGCCCGCACAAGCGGCGGAGCAUGCGGAUUAAUUCGAUGCAACGCGAAGAACCUUACCAAGGCUUGACAUGUGCCGGACCGUCCCAGAGAUGGGGCUUCCCUUCGGGGCCGGUUCACAGGUGGUGCAUGGU
Molecule: ribosomal RNA, 736 nt
Filed under: Sinomonas atrocyanea
Lineage: Bacteria; Bacillati; Actinomycetota; Actinomycetes; Micrococcales; Micrococcaceae
Description: bacterial SSU rRNA
Rfam family: Bacterial small subunit ribosomal RNA
Source: RNAcentral